GUUAGAACGCUCGUAGUCGGAUUUCGGGGCGGGACGACCGGUCUGCCGAUGGGUACGCACUGGUGGUCGCGUCCUUCCUUCCGGAGACCGUGCCUACUCUUAACUGAGCGGGGGCGGGAGACGGAACGUUUACUUUGAAAAAAUCAGAGUGUUUCAAGCAGGCAGCUCGCUCUUGCAUGGAUUAGCAUGGGAUAAUGAAAUAGGACUUUGGUGCUAUUUUGUUGGUUUCGAACACCGAAGUAAUGAUGAGAAGGGACAGUCAGGGGCACUCGUAUUCCGCCGAGAGAGGUGAAAUUCUCAGACCAGCGGAAGACGAACCACUGCGAAAGCAUUUGCCAGGGAUGUUUUCACUGAUCAAGAACGAAAGUUAGGGGAUCGAAGACGAUCAGAUACCGUCGUAGUCUUAACCAUAAACCAUGCCGACUAGGGAUUGGAGGAUGUUCACUGAUUGACUCCUUCAGCACCUUACGGGAAACUAAAGUCUUUGGGUUCCGGGGGGAGUAUGGUCGCAAGGCUGAAACUUAAAGGAAUUGACGGAAGGGCACCACCAGGUGUGGAGCCUGCGGCUUAAUUUGACUCAACACGGGGAAACUUACCAGGUCCAGACAUUGUGAGGGUUGACAGAUUGAGAGCUCUUUCUUGAUUUAAUGGGUGGUGGUGCAUGGCCGUUCUUAGUUGGUGGAGUGAUUUGUCUGGUUAAUUCCGUUAACGAACGAGACCUUAGCCUGCUAAAUAGUGACGCGAACACUCCGUUCGCGGUCCACUUCUUA
This 770-nucleotide ribosomal RNA is filed under the name uncultured eukaryote. RNAcentral describes it as "SSU rRNA". It matches the Rfam family "Eukaryotic small subunit ribosomal RNA", at positions 618 to 1413 of the family's 1831-position model. The record is from RNAcentral.